AUUUUUAUGAGCGCAUACGUGUACUCGGUGCCGCACAGUAAACUGCCUGGUGGAAACGGUGUUCACAUCGAACUGGUUUUCAUGUGACACCGGGCUGAUAAGGUUGAUAACUAUAACUUUACUCAUAUAACCCAGGGUUAUACGAGUUCAUAUUGUUUCAAUGUUGAGAUCAACAUGAUAAAAGUCAACAUAAAGUUGUCAUGGGGAAGUGAUAGACACGUAAGCGAAAAUACUUAACAGCAACAGGCUUUAUAUAUUCAAGCAAAUAUUGACAAUUAUGCAGAAUUAUGAGAACAAAAACAAGACAUCAUCCCAGACUUCUUUAUCACCAGCGGAGCAGAGAGGUGGUCCGAUAAGUUCAGUCUGACUUUUUUUUUCUCCCAACAACGGCAAGGAAUAAUGAUCGGGUAUGUGCUCAUUUUCGAUUGCUGCACAAAUUAUUACACCGAUCACAAUUGUGCUUUCGGAACAUAAACAGAGCUUAUUGAAUGGAUCCCCAAUUACAGCUAAAGCCAGCGCAGCCUCCUGCUGCUCCUCUGCCCGCAGAAAGAAGCUGCGCUGCUCCGGGCAGCGGUUCACCGUCUUUGCCAGAUGAACCGACAUGUCACUGCCUUUCUCUGUCCCGCACUGAGAGGUAAGUUAAAGCUUCUUGAGUUAAAGCUUCUCAGAUGGAGAAGAAACAGAGCUAGAGGCCCAAAUAGUUAAUCAAACUUGCUAGUUCUCAUUAGGAUUGUGUGAAAUAAAGGAAUUUGUCACGGAAUUUGUUCUCAGUACGCUCGAGUAUGAAGACACGGAGUCCGUGGACAGUACGCGCGGUUCAUGGAAUGCGCACAGUACGUCCGAGUAUAUUGGGGCCUUUAAGGGUGAACAAUUGUUCUAGGCCACUUAUUUUGAAAAAAAAUAUGAAUUCGUUUGGCCUGGGGUCUUUCUGCAUUGAGUUUGCAUGUUCUCCCUGUGCAUGGUGGGUUCUCUCCAGGUACUCCGGUUUCCUCCCACAGUCCAAAAACAUGACUGUCAAGUUAAUUGGCCUCACUAAAUUGUCCCUAAGUGUGUGUGUGUGUAUGGUUAUUUGUCUGUCUCUGUGUUGCCCUGCGACAGACUGACGACCUGUCCAGGGUGUACCCCGCCUCUCACCCAGAAUGUUUUCUGGAGAAAGGCAACAGCACCUCCUGACCCCAUUAAGGGACAAGGGUGUACAGAAAAUGGAUGGAUGGAUGGUGAUUUAGUUUUCUUCGGAAUAUUUUAUUGUUUUUCCUACUUGUAGACCAAAGAUGCUGUUGCCAUAAGGACCUCUACUCUGGGAUGUCUCUCAGUUUUCCUCGACAACGAUGGAGGAGAGUUGUACAAUGUCUCUUGAUUCAGAUGCCAUGGCAGACUUCAUCCAGGUUCCUGUGUGGUUAUUGACUGUUAUGUUAUGCUAAGUAUAUCAUUUUGUUAAAAUAAAACGUUGAAUCUUGUAAAUUUAAAAUCUGUGCCUGUGGUAAGCUGAACUAUUUUGAAGUUUCUUGUUACUAAUUAAACACUGAC
Long non-coding RNA from Poecilia latipinna (sailfin molly), 1527 nucleotides. RefSeq lists it as uncharacterized. Lineage: Eukaryota; Metazoa; Chordata; Actinopteri; Cyprinodontiformes; Poeciliidae. The record is from RefSeq and is a predicted model, not a curated record. The transcript is spliced from 2 exons.